CCUACGGGGGGCAGCAGUGAGGAAUAUUGGUCAAUGGACGAGAGUCUGAACCAGCCAAGUAGCGUGAAGGAUGACUGCCCUAUGGGUUGUAAACUUCUUUUAUAUGGGAAUAAAAUGUUCCACGUGUGGGAUUUUGUAUGUACCAUAUGAAUAAGGAUCGGCUAACUCCGUGCCAGCAGCCGCGGUAAUACGGAGGAUCCGAGCAUUAUCCGGAUUUAUUGGGUUUAAAGGGAGCGUAGGUGGAUUGUUAAGUCAGUUGUGAAAGUUUGCGGCUCAACCGUAAAAUUGCAGUUGAAACUGGCAGUCUUGAGUACAGUAGAGGUGGGCGGAAUUCGUGGUGUAGCGGUGAAAUGCUUAGAUAUCACGAAGAACUCCGAUUGCGAAGGCAGUUCACUGGACUGCAACUGACACUGAGGCUCGAAAGUGUGGGUAUCAAACAGGAUUAGAUACCCCUGUAGUC
RNAcentral lists this ribosomal RNA (460 nucleotides) under uncultured bacterium. RNAcentral's name for it is "partial 16S ribosomal RNA". It matches the Rfam family "Bacterial small subunit ribosomal RNA", at positions 338 to 795 of the family's 1533-position model. The record is from RNAcentral.